GAGAAGAGCCAAGAAAGCGAGCAGCAGCAACUUGUCACCCCUCCUGACCUGCGGAGAUGAACAGCCUGCGUGUGUCCCUGCCCCGGUACUUGGUGGCAAGUUGGAAGACUUGAACAAUUUCUUAUGUUUUCAAGUGUUUGCAGGCACAAUUUGUGGGAUGUGAAGACAGAGGUACAUGUCGUUGGUUGUGAGGGCCUAACCUGUGGGGCUCAAUUCAUCCAAAUAUCAUGUGUUUGUUCAUCUAAAAGAAAAAAGCCCAGGGCAAAGCACCAGUGGCAAAGUGGAUACAGCUCUGGGUCUGGAGGCAGGAAGAGUUGACUUCAAAUUUGGGUUCAGAUACUUUCUAUCUGUAUGACUCUGGUACAAGAUAAGAAGCCAUAAAGAGAGAAUAAUGAGUUUUACCCUAAGCCUUGGGUUCCUGAGAACACCUGCAAGCAGUGGGACGGGUGCCUUCCUUGAACAGUCCAUCAUUGUGAGCUCCCUAGGGGACAUAUGCAAAUGAUGGCUGGGGGGCUGUGAGUUUAGGCCAGGCUGAAUUGUGCCUAUGACAAGGUCUUCCCUUUUGGUGAAUUGCUGCCCUGGAUUAAAGGACUUGGCAGUUGGAAUUUUUUUUUCAGGAGUCUGUAGGGUGGUCGGUCUGAAUAGGCCUUGAAUGGCCUGGAGGAAUUCUCUUAAUGGAAUUUUGCCUCUUGCUGGGAGGGUGCUUGUAUCCCAGAGGAAGCUAAAGGGAUUCAGCCAGUAUCUUUCUCCUCUGGGUCUUUUCUCCUCAAAAUAAAUAGAUCAAUAAGUGACUAUUGCCAGCAAAGAAGGCAGUACUGGUUUUCAGCCUCCCACAGGAGAGCUUUCCCCCAAUGGGAAGCCAGUCAGAAAGCUUUUUUUGACUAUGUGCUUUGUUUUUUCCAUUGCUGGAGUGUAUCUCGUGCAGCAGCUUCUUUUUCUUGCCAGGAGAAUUUGCAGAGAUCUGCAGCUACACGCAUGGCUAAAAGCUAGAUACACUUUGGCCAAAGUCAAAGCACAUCCCAGCUAGGAGAGCACAUUUAGAACAAAAACAUGUGAAAACUAUCUUUGCACAUAUUUUGAAAAUAAAAAGCUAUUAUUUUUUUAAAAAAUUAUACAUUUUGAGUCCCAAUUACAUUCUAAUAUCAUUGGAGAAAGUUUCCACGAGGAGAUGCUUAAUGUGUUUUUACAGAGCCUAAAGUAAAGUUUUUGGUUGAUAUUGAAAAUUUUUGUUCUUUGCUUUGUCUUAACUUUUUUGACCUUUACUUUUAAUUAUUAGUGGGAAUUUAGAAUUUCUGAUCCACUUUUGUUUUCCAGAUUCUAUUACAUAUGUUUCUUUUUCAUUGUCUUUAAUUGGGCAAUGUGAUAUACUUUAAUCUUUCAAUAUCUAUCAGUCAAUAAAAAUAUAUUGAAUACUUAAAAAAAAAACCAUGCAAGGUCUUUUUGUUUAUUUACUCAUUUAAACCAAAGAACUACAUGGAUUUCAGUCAAUCAGCUUUUUAUACACUCAAGUAAUUUUCAUUCUUGCCCCCUUAUUCCUGUAUAGACUUUGCAACCACUCUUGAAUGCAUGGUGACAGCAACUUCCUUGGUAUAUGUGCCUUUAUUAAUAAAGUCCAUCAGGAGAGUUUUUGGCCUGAUCUCUCAAAGUUUUUCUUUUUUUUUUUUUUUCCUUGUUUGUCUACUGGUAGCUAAGAAAGUCCUCCUGUGAAUUAGACUGAGAGUUCUGGUCAUAUAGACCUUCCACAGAGGUGGGCACUGUAAGAACAAAAGACAUCCACAGAUGCAGACCCAGAUUUGAGAAAACUGAUUCUAAACCCAGGUAUGAAUCUUUCUGCUGCCUGUAGAGAUGACCCCUGAGCUGUACAAGUAUUCCUUUCCCCAUUCCCAUAGCUAUAGUUUACAAAAAACUAACCCUUGGCCCUUUUUCUCUCCCCUUUAAAAAUUAGCCCCAAAGUCAAUAUUGCAGCAUCUGACAAAUUGCUGUGACUCAUGUCAUACCUAAUCCCACAGCCUCCAUUCUAGCUGCCCUAUGAUGCUUGCUGUUGGGAGCCCUGCAUGUCAAAACCAGCCCCAGCCAUUCAUGGUGUCUGCACAGUGUAAUUGCAUAGUGAACCAACGUCUACCCCAGUGGUGGAGCUUAAGCAAAAGGCUCACUUGGUUUCUGUUUUGCUUGUAACAUAUGCAUUUAUUAUAAUUAUAGGACGUCAUCAAGGACUUCUCCUCCCCCCCAUCCCUUCUAUUUGUCUGGUUAUUAGCUACAGUUUAACUCCCUCUAUUAUAGUAUGAAGAGUUUUACUCUUGGAAGCAGAAAAUCUGGGGCUCGUAUUCUGCCUCAUUAUUUGAACUCAGUGACUACUUCUUAAGUUCCUGCUAUGCACUGGGCAAGGGUUUGUGUGCCAAAGAUCCAGAGACAGCAAAACAACCCCUGCCAGGACACUUAUAUAAUACAAAAAUAAAUAAAAAGCAAUCCACUAGGAGAUUAUAAUCCACUAAAUAAAUAAAAAAGGGAUUUCCAGGGGAGGGAAUAGCACUAAAAAUAUUACUUGGAGCUAGGUGGUACAAUGGAUAGAACACUUGGCAUUACAAUAUAUAAAUUCAAAUCUGACCUCCCCGUUGCCGUAAAAAAAAAAAAAAAAAAAAAGGAACAAAGAGAAAUAGAAGUUCUAAGAGCUGGAGGCUAGGAUGAACAACAUUCCAAGUGUGAAGAGAACAGGAGAAGACACAAAGGUAAUGUGUGUGCCCAAUUCACCUGACUUCCAUGAACUUCAGUUUCUUCAUAUUUGAAAUGAACACAAGAAUAGCUAAAGCCCUUCACUCACAGGCUAUUCUGAGGAUUAAAUGAGAUAAUAUGCAAACAUAAAGAAUUUCACAUACUUUGAAGCACUCUUUGAAUGCCAGUUUUUAUUUCAUGUGUUUCAGUGUUGACUGUAUUUGUUGAAAAUUUCAGCUGUUUAAAAGCAUGUGUGACUUGAUAUACUGAAGGGGUAUGUAGGGGGAAGAGACCCAAACACCAACUCUCCAAUUCCACCUCCAAAAUUUUUCUGGAAAGAACAGGUGCUGUUACUUAUCACCCCGAUGACUCUGGAAAGGUGCUCAGCUUUCCCAACACCCCCAUCAUCAUUUAUAAAGUGUGUUAGAAGGAAGAGCAAGAUGAUACGAUGAUCAAUUCUGAUGAAUGUGGCUCUCUUCAACAAUAAGAUGAUUCAAGCUAGUUCCAGUGGUCAUGUGAGGAAGAGAGACAUCUAUACCCAGAGAGAAGACUGUGGGAGCUGAGGGUGAAUCACAACAUAGCAUUUUCACUCUUUUUGUUGUUGCUUUUUAUUUGUUUUUUUCCUCAUUUUUUUUCCUUUUUGAUCUGAUUUUUUCUUGUGCAACAUGAUAUUUGUGGAAAUAUGUAUAGAAGAAUAGCACAUGUUUAAUAUAUAUUGGAUUAUUUGCCAUCUUGGGGAGGAGGUGGGUGAAGGGAAGGGGAAAAUUUGGAAAUUUGGAAAAAGUUUUGCAAGGGUGAAUGUUGAAAAUUUUCUAGGCAUAUAUUUUGAAAAUAAAAAGCUUUAAUAAAAAUAAAUAAAUAAAAAUGAGGUCUUAGGCUACAUGGUCUCUAAGGUCCUUUUCAGCUCUAAAUCUAUUAAAUUAUAACUUGGUGCCAAUCCCAGUCAUACAUUCUCUCUCUCUUUCCCUUUAUCAUAGAGCCAUCAUGAUGUUCAUGUUCUUGGGUCAGUGUCAUGAUGGAAGAACAUUUGUAAGUUCCGGAUGAAAUAUGGGCUCUGUGUUUAAUGGGGAGAGAAUUGGAUAUGGAAUCAGAGGUCCUGGACUUGAAUCCUCCACCCUAUCCCACCCCCGAAUCACUGCAGCCUGCAGAUUUUUCAAAAAAUGGGACAGAAAAGGCAGAAAAGGAACAUAACCAGGAACCAAGGACUCUGCUGUGAUCUUUAGGCUAUGGAAAGAUGAGGAAGUCCUUUGAGAACACAUGCCAAGGCCAUAGUGCACUCUGAUACCAGAUUUUUAUCAUGCCUUCAAUUAGUGGCCAUUCUGGAUCAGUCAGUCAACAAACAUUUAGUAAGCGAUUGCUGUUGCCAGCUACUGUGUUAAGUGCUAAAGACACAAACUGGAAAUAUAAAAGAGACAAAAAUUUAGCCUUCUGUCUUAUUCUAAUGUGAAAAUUACUAUAUGUUCAUAAUAGGUAGAAGCUCCUACCAGGAGUAUCCUAGAAAAUGUUGGUUUUU
Long non-coding RNA from Antechinus flavipes (yellow-footed antechinus), 4222 nucleotides. RefSeq lists it as uncharacterized. Lineage: Eukaryota; Metazoa; Chordata; Mammalia; Dasyuromorphia; Dasyuridae. The record is from RefSeq and is a predicted model, not a curated record. The transcript is spliced from 5 exons.